AGUGAACGCUGGCGGUAGGCCUAACACAUGCAAGUCGAACGGCAGCACAGUAAGAGCUUGCUCUUACGGGUGGCGAGUGGCGGACGGGUGAGGAAUACAUCGGAAUCUACUUUUUCGUGGGGGAUAACGUAGGGAAACUUACGCUAAUACUGCAUACGACCUACGGGUGAAAGCAGGGGAUCUUCGGACCUUGCGCGAUUGAAUGAGCCGAUGUCGGAUUAGCUAGUUGGCGGUGUAAAGGCCCACCAAGGCGACGAUCCGUAGCUGGUCUGAGAGGAUGAUCAGCCACACUGGAACUGAGACACGGUCCAGACUCCUACGGGAGGCAGCAGUGGGGAAUAUUGGACAAUGGGCGCAAGCCUGAUCCAGCCAUACCGCGUGGGUGAAGAAGGCCUUCGGGUUGUAAAGCCCUUUUGUUGGGAAAGAAAAGCAGCAGGUUAAUACCCCGCUGUUCUGACGGUACCCAAAGAAUAAGCACCGGCUAACUUCGUG
This 492-nucleotide ribosomal RNA is filed under the name uncultured bacterium. RNAcentral's name for it is "partial 16S ribosomal RNA". It matches the Rfam family "Bacterial small subunit ribosomal RNA", at positions 29 to 507 of the family's 1533-position model. The record is from RNAcentral.